CGGAGCUUGCUCCACCGGAAAAAGAAGAGUGGCGAACGGGUGAGUAACACGUGGGUAACCUGCCCAUCAGAAGGGGAUAACACUUGGAAACAGGUGCUAAUACCGUAUAACAAUCGAAACCGCAUGGUUUUGAUUUGAAAGGCGCUUUCGGGUGUCGCUGAUGGAUGGACCCGCGGUGCAUUAGCUAGUUGGUGAGGUAACGGCUCACCAAGGCCACGAUGCAUAGCCGACCUGAGAGGGUGAUCGGCCACAUUGGGACUGAGACACGGCCCAAACUCCUACGGGAGGCAGCAGUAGGGAAUCUUCGGCAAUGGACGAAAGUCUGACCGAGCAACGCCGCGUGAGUGAAGAAGGUUUUCGGAUCGUAAAACUCUGUUGUUAGAGAAGAACAAGGAUGAGAGUAACUGUUCAUCCCUUGACGGUAUCUAACCAGAAAGCCACGGCUAACUACGUGCCAGCAGCCGCGGUAAUACGUAGGUGGCAAGCGUUGUCCGGAUUUAUUGGGCGUAAAGCGAGCGCAGGCGGUUUCUUAAGUCUGAUGUGAAAGCCCCCGGCUCAACCGGGGAGGGUCAUUGGAAACUGGGAGACUUGAGUGCAGAAGAGGAGAGUGGAAUUCCAUGUGUAGCGGUGAAAUGCGUAGAUAUAUGGAGGAACACCAGUGGCGAAGGCGGCUCUCUGGUCUGUAACUGACGCUGAGGCUCGAAAGCGUGGGGAGCAAACAGGAUUAGAUACCCUGGUAGUCCACGCCGUAAACGAUGAGUGCUAAGUGUUGGAGGGUUUCCGCCCUUCAGUGCUGCAGCUAACGCAUUAAGCACUCCGCCUGGGGAGUACGACCGCAAGGUUGAAACUCAAAGGAAUUGACGGGGGCCCGCACAAGCGGUGGAGCAUGUGGUUUAAUUCGAAGCAACGCGAAGAACCUUACCAGGUCUUGACAUCCUUUGACCACUCUAGAGAUAGAGCUUCCCCUUCGGGGGCAAAGUGACAGGUGGUGCAUGGUUGUCGUCAGCUCGUGUCGUGAGAUGUUGGGUUAAGUCCCGCAACGAGCGCAACCCUUAUUGUUAGUUGCCAUCAUUUAGUUGGGCACUCUAGCAAGACUGCCGGUGACAAACCGGAGGAAGGUGGGGAUGACGUCAAAUCAUCAUGCCCCUUAUGACCUGGGCUACACACGUGCUACAAUGGGAAGUACAACGAGUCGCGAAGUCGCGAGGCUAAGCUAAUCUCUUAAAGCUUCUCUCAGUUCGGAUUGUAGGCUGCAACUCGCCUACAUGAAGCCGGAAUCGCUAGUAAUCGCGGAUCAGCACGCCGCGGUGAAUACGUUCCCGGGCCUUGUACACACCGCCCGUCACACCACGAGAGUUUGUAACACCCGAAGUCGGUGAGGUA
RNAcentral lists this ribosomal RNA (1383 nucleotides) under Enterococcus durans. Its description in RNAcentral is "bacterial SSU rRNA". It matches the Rfam family "Bacterial small subunit ribosomal RNA", at positions 74 to 1437 of the family's 1533-position model. The record is from RNAcentral. Lineage: Bacteria; Bacillati; Bacillota; Bacilli; Lactobacillales; Enterococcaceae.